Small nucleolar RNA from Salvia splendens (bonfire salvia), 107 nucleotides. NCBI's taxonomy places the organism in Eukaryota, Viridiplantae, Streptophyta, Magnoliopsida, Lamiales, Lamiaceae. The record is from RefSeq and is a predicted model, not a curated record.
AGACCAUGGCUAGGACACUUUCUCAACAUCUCAGUAAACCUUUUCCAUGCUUCAGCAAAAGAUUCAUCAUCUUGCUGCCGAAAAGAUGUGAUGGCAUCCCUCAAUCU